AAGACUGCACACACGCAAUAGAUAGCGAGAUAUGAGACUUUUGGCUAGCUAACCUUGCUAAAAAAAGUGCUAGUCAAGAUGUUUAACUUUUUCGCGUUGAGGCUCUGGAUACCAAUUUGUACCAUUUAGCUGCCUGCAGAGUCAUAAAGAGAAAGAGUUGCGUCAAUUGCCUUUACGUUCAUGGUACUGUACUGUACUGUACUGUAGGCUAGUUAGAACUAGAGCGAGCUAGCAUCAGUUUCAAACACAGCAGCAUCGUCGUUGAGGAACAGUUGUACUGUACUGUAUGAUGGAGUUGUGCCAAGUCUGGCAUUGCUACUGAUGUUGAUGUGAGCUGAAAAGGAGGCCCAGUGCCUUGGAGGUGGAUGUCAGACCCACUGGACGAAGGAGCGCUGGAUGGGAGACCACUAGUUGAAGGAGCGCUGGAUGGGAGACCACUAGAUGAGAGAUUUCUGGAUGAGGGAAAAUGUGAUGGAGUGGCCUGUCUUAUAUUUAAACCACAGUAUUUUUGUCAUUACUAUGCUUUUAACCCUUGUGUUAUCUUCGGGUCAUUCUGACCCAUCAGUCAUUGUGACCCACCGUCGUAUUGCGACAGAUUUACCGCAUACAAAGACAAAGUGAAGCAUUUUCUUUUAACCGUUGGGCUGUCUCAGACCCCCCACAUUGCAAAGGUUAAAAGAAAAUUAUUUUAAUUUGUUUUUGUAUUGGGUAAAAUUGGGUAAACACAACGAUGGUUCGUUAUGAACCUUUGGGUCAUGUGACCCGAAGGCAGCACGAGGGUUAAUUGUGGUCGUUAUUGAGUUUGCUCCUGUUGACUUUAGCAAACCACCUCUUUCUCCUCUCACUAUCAGCUGGGAAGCCGUAGCCUACAUCACGACUCCCUAUUUGGAGCAUGCAAUACAUCCCCAUGCAUCACACCCAACCAUUAUGAAAUCCAAGAUGCUAGGUGCAAGACCAAGACAGCGCGGUGUAGACAAAAGCGUUACCUUUAUUGUGUCACCCUUUACACUCUUUUCAUAGCAGAGACUAAAAUAACAUGUGUACAUAUUUGAAUAGUCAUGUUGACUAUCAUGUAGUUGUACUGUAGCCUUUCACAACCAAGUCCUUGAGGUUUAAUCAUUGUGCACUACACAUGCAUAAAAUGAUACUAUAUAGUAGGGAAAGAUUAAAUAAAGAUGCAGAACAAAC
Osmerus eperlanus (European smelt) is the source of this 1188-nucleotide long non-coding RNA. RefSeq lists it as uncharacterized. The record is from RefSeq and is a predicted model, not a curated record. The transcript is spliced from 2 exons. Lineage: Eukaryota; Metazoa; Chordata; Actinopteri; Osmeriformes; Osmeridae.